AUCAAUCCCAUCACAUGGCAUGCCUUAGAGAAGCUUGUGUUAACAUUUCAAGCAUCUACAAUAAGUAGUUGCUGACAAAACUGUGACAAGAAUUUGUUAUGUGUGAAACAUGUAUGAAAAGGACAGAUGCACAGAGGAACAGGAAGUUGACAUCCGAUUUGAACAGAAAUUAAUCCCACCAUAUGGCAUGCCUACGCGGAGAAUGUUCUAAAAUUUCAAGAAUCUGCAAUGAGUAGUUGCUGAGAAAACUGCGACGAAAAUUUGUUAUGUAUGAAACGGACAGACGCACAGAUAAACAGGAAGUUGAAAUUGGAUUUGA
Molecule: long non-coding RNA, 319 nt
Organism: Saccostrea echinata
Lineage: Eukaryota; Metazoa; Mollusca; Bivalvia; Ostreida; Ostreidae
Exons: 2
Source: RefSeq, a predicted model, not a curated record